RNAcentral lists this ribosomal RNA (374 nucleotides) under uncultured organism. RNAcentral describes it as "partial 16S ribosomal RNA". It matches the Rfam family "Bacterial small subunit ribosomal RNA", at positions 527 to 896 of the family's 1533-position model. The record is from RNAcentral.
GUAGGUGGCAAGCGUUGUCCGGAAUUAUUGGGCGUAAAGCGCGCGCAGGCGGUUCUUUAAGUCUGAUGUGAAAGCCCACGGCUCAACCGUGGAGGGUCAUUGGAAACUGGAGAACUUGAGUACAGAAGAGGAAAGCGGAAUUCCACGUGUAGCGGUGAAAUGCGUAGAGAUGUGGAGGAACACCAGUGGCGAAGGCGGCUUUCUGGUCUGUAACUGACGCUGAGGCGCGAAAGCGUGGGGGAGCAAACAGGAUUAGAUACCCUGGUAGUCCACGCCGUAAACGAUGAGUGCUAAGUGUUAGGGGGUUUUCCGCCCCCUUAGUGCUGCAGCUAACGCAUUAAGCACUCCGCCCUGGGAGUACGGCCGCAAGGCUG